RNAcentral lists this ribosomal RNA (253 nucleotides) under uncultured bacterium. RNAcentral's name for it is "partial 16S ribosomal RNA". It matches the Rfam family "Bacterial small subunit ribosomal RNA", at positions 524 to 776 of the family's 1533-position model. The record is from RNAcentral.
UACGUAGGGGGCGAGCGUUGUCCGGAUUUAUUGGGCGUAAAGAGCGCGCAGGCGGUCGUUCAAGUCGCGUGUGAAAGCCCCCGGCUCAACUGGGGAGGGUCACGCGAUACUGAUCGACUCGAAGGCAGGAGAGGGUAGUGGAAUUCCCGGUGUAGUGGUGAAAUGCGUAGAUAUCGGGAGGAACACCAGUGGCGAAGGCGGCUCACUGGCCCGGUACUGACGCUGAGGCACGAAAGCGUGGGGAGCAAACAGG